Molecule: unclassified non-coding RNA, 319 nt
Filed under: uncultured fungus
Lineage: Eukaryota; Fungi
Description: partial contains small subunit ribosomal RNA, internal transcribed spacer 1, and 5.8S ribosomal RNA
Rfam family: Eukaryotic small subunit ribosomal RNA (bases 1-73)
Source: RNAcentral
GCAAACUUGGUCAUUUAGAGGAAGUAAAAGUCGUAACAAGGUUUCCGUAGGUGAACCUGCGGAAGGAUCAUUAGCGAAGUUCGGAAUGCCGGUUCGGUGCUGAAGCUGCUCAGCGAUGGGAUGUGCUCGUCCGGGCCGGUGUCCCUUCUCUAUUCCACCCCACUGUGAACCAAGCGUGCGAGCAGAAGAGAGAUCGGAAGCUCGCAUGCACACUUUAACAUACCCCUUAUGAAGUAUCUGAAUGUACCUUGCGUUAACUCGCACAAAUACAACUUUCAACAACGGAUCUCUUGGCUCUCGCAUCGAUGAAGAACGCAGC